CUUAUCAAAUACUAAGUGCACCAGUUUUGCUCUGUAUCGCCAUUCGUCGUAAAGGCUGUAUGUAGUCUAAGCAAUUAAACACUUGAGUGACUGAUCCAAGAUCCUGCAUGCCUUGUGAAUUUAGCACUUUCGAGCCACUCAUCGCGGUACUUAACUUCCUGCAGUUUAAAGGGCAGACUACAGAAACCAUGACGGCUACCCUUGAUCCCUGUACAAACGAAACGAAACUUUACAUAGAAAUGCGAGAAUUAGUGAACACGCUGAAUUCCGACAAUGUAUCGUCCAUAAGGGCAUCCCUGAUAGAUCUGCGUUGCUUUGACACGGCGGAGCGUUUGACGGCCACGGCGGCGCGCAUUGUGCAUAAGGCACUAGCCGAUCCACAUCUGGCAAAAACGUGCGCCGCACUCUGUUCCCGAUUGGCAGAUAUGAAAACAAAGGAUUCCACUGACAUGAAAACGAAGGCUUCCGCGGGCGUAGGCAAACGUGGUAAACCGCUGCAAUUCCGCACCGUUGUACUCCGCCGCACGCAGAAAAGUUGGGAAAAAGCCGACCGAGAUUAUUCUACUAGAAAAAAGCCGACCGAGAGUACUUUGGAAGGUGACAUCCUGCUUUACGGGGAUUCAGAAUCGCGGCGAUUGAAGUGGACUCUUGCUGCUUGGCUUGUAGCCGAUUUUUAGCGCAGCUGCAUGCCAACGGUUUAUUCACUGAUGACGUCGUUAUUUCAAUUCUGCACAAAUUACACGUAGAGAGAUGUGUAGAUGUUAACGAAGCAAGAGUUGAAUGCAUGUGCAUCAUACUGCAGAUAUGUGCUCCGCACAUUAAGCAACAAGUAAGCGGAAUUCUUUAUACUGUACACUUCAGUCUUCAGAGGGUAUAUCGUAAUGCUUUACUGUGUUGUGAUUAAAAAAGUGUCAAGGUCUUCUUCAAGCAGCUAUGCAAAAUAAUCGACGCUGAUAAGGUGACGUCGCCACGUAUCCGUUCCAUGGUGGAAAAAGUGGUUACUGGAAGGAGAAAGAAAUAUAAUUUUCCAAGCACUACCGCAGUUACACCAGUAAAGCUAAGCAGAAGAAAAAACACGGGGUUGACAAGGCUCCGAUUUUUUUAGCGCCACGGCUUAGGAGCGAUCAACCACCACCCUAUAGUAGACACCACUCUGUCCAGCCGUUGCUGCCAGGUGGGAAACGGAAAGUCUUGGGAUUAUUGGCCGAUUCGGCACAUGGUCACGCGCUAAUGCCAAAAGGCGGACUAGGCAGUAGGCACACAGCGACCUGCUUGGAGCGCCGGAAGCAGAGUGACCUUCCGAAGCAAUGCAAACUCGACCAGGUUACCACAGGCUUUACCGAAAGACAUUUCCGUGGGAUGCUCUACAACACAGAUGGUAUCGGACGUAGCAAUAUAUAACCAGGCAAUUAACAAGAAGUUGGAUGGGGAAAACGGUGAUAGAGAAGACAAGGAGGGAGCACUCUUAAUAGGUUUUUAAAGUGUACAGAUACCGAACUACUUUUGAGACUUCUUGCAUUCUGUGGCCAGAUGACCCUGAUACAUUAUACAUGCAUUGUAAAUACAUUGGUGAAGAACGAUAUGUGCGAGCAGCAUCCGGUUGGGAAGAUUUAGGUAAUUUUUAUUAUUAACUGAGAUUCAAUGCGCCAAAAGUUGUUUUAUGGACAGAGCUUUAAAGUUUGCAUGUUAAUGCACUGUGUGUAAAUUUCAGGAUUAUAGCAAUUUAAUCAGAUUUCAUUUCAAAUCUCAAAUUGCAAAAAAAUGCCAGACCUGACAAAAGCUACAGUAGAUCGAACG
Long non-coding RNA from Paramacrobiotus metropolitanus, 1797 nucleotides. RefSeq lists it as uncharacterized. NCBI's taxonomy places the organism in Eukaryota, Metazoa, Tardigrada, Eutardigrada, Parachela, Macrobiotidae. The record is from RefSeq and is a predicted model, not a curated record. The transcript is spliced from 6 exons.